This is a long non-coding RNA of Camelus dromedarius (Arabian camel), 1830 nucleotides long. RefSeq lists it as uncharacterized. Lineage: Eukaryota; Metazoa; Chordata; Mammalia; Artiodactyla; Camelidae. The transcript has 4 exons. The record is from RefSeq and is a predicted model, not a curated record.
GAGGAAGGAGUUGCGGCCGAGAUCGGACACCGGAGGGCUCGCUGUUUUUGUUGCGUAGAGUAAGGCCGAUCUCUGGCCACCAUGCCGGGCAGGUGACUGCAGCGUCCUUGUAGGCAGGCUGGCUGGAGUGUCGGGCUUCAGUGGAUGUGGCGGGGAACCGUAGUAGAGGUGUAUGAGUUCUUUCAAAGCAGAACGCUGUUGUUUCCAUGUUCUGAUCUUUCAGAGAUUAUGAAGGCACAAUUCCUGCCUUUGAUUUGCUUAGUCAAGUGGAGUAGACACAGGUCAAUGGUGGCAGCCACUUAAAUAUUCUAAAGGAGAUUUAUCAACAGGUUGCAGGUGAACAUGGCCUUGAGGGAGACAGAGCACAGGGAGAUAAAUUCUGGGGUCAUAAGGCAAAAUAACAAUUGAUCCCAGGUAUUCUGAUUUCCAGUCUGGUUCUCUUUACAUUACAGGACAGUUCCUAGAAUCAGUUGCAACUAAUGUUUUCUUUUUUUCCUCAGAUCUGUCCCCCCCCGACCAAGCAUGCACACAGUGGAAGCACCUUAUUAUUCUUUGCGUGUGGGCUGCUGGGUGACACCAGGAAGCACGCAGUCAUAGGUUGUGUUGCAUUUUUCCUAAUCUUGCCAUCAAGCCACAGAUGCCCUCCUGUUCCUUUGUACUCCUCCCCUCCAAGUUUUUCCAUCUCCUGGCCAUAGGUCUUUUGCUAUAGUUUGAAAGAGCCCUGCCACCCCUCACACAGAGAGCAGUGAGAGGCCGAAGAGCAGUGGUGGGAUGAGGAAGAUGUGCGUUUAUUCAACACUUAGUGUGCCCUUGGGGCACAUGUUAGCCCUUGGGGACUGAGUGAUGAACAAGACAGACACUGUCCUACCUUCGUGGAAUUUGUCAAGGUCAUUUCAAAAUUAGAGGGAGUAAGUACUGUGAAGGAGAGAACGGGUGGGUGGAAAGAGUGUUCAGUGGGCAAAACCUUACUAGAGUGCCAUGACUAUUGAGAAAACAGGAGAGGCCACAUGACUGCCUGGUGGGUGGCCUCUGGCCUCCUCAGGUCUGUUCUUGGCUGACUAGUGAAAUGUCACGAGUGUGCUGGGGUGGCUGGAGCCACUAACACUUACACAUCUCCUCCCUCCUUCUUCCCCACGUGCCAUAGGCCUUGGAGACUCAGAUAUGUUGCAUAUACACAAAUAGACCAGUACAAUCUGAUAGCCUGAAAGACCUUUGAGUUUGUUCAGUCUGAGUCUUCAUUUUACAGCCGGGCCUGGAACUGACUGACCCAGCAUCACAUGGGUGGUAGUUCUCAGGAUCCAGGUCAGGUGACCUGAGUGCCAGCACCCCAGCCUGCCAGGUCACAACAGGAGCCAUAAAUGAUGCUGCGUGCGUGGGGCUUGAAUGCCAGGUUCAGACGGCUGAGGUGUGAGUGGCUGGGUACAGGAGAGACGGGAAGCUGGGCAUCAGAACAGUCUAAUAGAAGGUGACAUGCUUUGGCAUUGAAAUGCCGUUGUGUAUCUUGAGACACCCAGGCUUUUCCAGAGAAAAACAGGGAUGCACAAAUUGACGAAGCUGACAACUGAAAGUGUACAGAUGCUGAGAAAUGUCCACGUUGAAAAAUGACAGUUUUGAAUUUUCAUAGUCUAAUAGAAUGCCAAUCUUCCUCGGGGAAACCGUUAUUCUUAUAUCUGGAGUCGUCUUGUUGUGUAGAAAUUCAUACUUAUGCCUGAAGAUUAAAUGUUGAUAUUACAAAGCUUCAGAAAUUGUGUAGAUGGGCCAGUUACAGAACAUUUCAAUUUUCAAGUACUCUUACAACUAUUUUCUUUUAUUAAAAGACGAUCAAAGUAA